This 212-nucleotide unclassified non-coding RNA is filed under the name soil metagenome. RNAcentral describes it as "partial contains 5.8S ribosomal RNA, internal transcribed spacer 2, and large subunit ribosomal RNA". The record is from RNAcentral.
AACAAGGCGUACCUGCGGACCUGCGGAGGGAUCAUUACAAGUGACCCCGGUCUAACCACCGGGAUGUUCAUAGCCCUUUGUUGUCCGACUCUGUUGCCUCCGGGGCGACCCUGCCUUCGGGCGGGGGCUCCGGGUGGACACUUCAAACUCUUGCGUAACUUUGCAGUCUGAGUAAACUUAAUUAAUAAAUUAAAACUUUCAGCAACGGAUCU